This 460-nucleotide ribosomal RNA is filed under the name uncultured bacterium. Its description in RNAcentral is "partial 16S ribosomal RNA". It matches the Rfam family "Bacterial small subunit ribosomal RNA", at positions 338 to 795 of the family's 1533-position model. The record is from RNAcentral.
CCUACGGGAGGCAGCAGUGAGGAAUAUUGGUCAAUGGGCUUACGCCUGAACCAGCCAAGUCGCGUGAGGGAAGACUGCCCUAUGGGUUGUAAACCUCUUUUGUCAGGGAGCAACGCCGGCUACGUGUAGCCGGACUGAGAGUACCUGAAGAAAAAGCAUCGGCUAACUCCGGGCCAGCAGCCGCGGUAAUACGGGGGAUGCGAGCGUUAUCCGGAUUUUUGGGGUUUAAAGGGUGCGUAGGCGGAAUGCCAAGUCAGCGGUAAAAUCGGGGGGCUCAACCUCGCUCCGCCGUUGAAACUGGCGUUCUUGAGUGGGCGAGAAGUAUGCGGAAUGCGUGGUGUAGCGGUGAAAUGCAUAGAUAUCACGCAGAACUCCGAUUGCGAAGGCAGCAUACCGGCGCCCAACUGACGCUGAAGCACGAAAGCGUGGGUAUCGAACAGGAUUAGAUACCCGUGUAGUC